AUACGAAGGGGGCAAGCGUUGUUCGGAAUAACUGGGCGUAAAGCGCACGUAGGCGGAAUGUUAAGUUAGAGGUGAAAUCCCAGGGCUCAACCCUGGAACGGCCUUUAAUACUGGCAAUCUAGAGACCGAGAGAGGUGAGUGGAAUUCCAAGUGUAGAGGUGAAAUUCGUAGAUAUUCGGAGGAACACCAGUGGCGAAGGCGGCUCACUGGCUCGGUACUGACGCUGAGGUGCGAAAGCGUGGGGAGCAAACAGGAUUAGAAACCCUAGUAGUCC
Molecule: ribosomal RNA, 274 nt
Filed under: uncultured bacterium
Lineage: Bacteria
Description: partial 16S ribosomal RNA
Rfam family: Bacterial small subunit ribosomal RNA
Source: RNAcentral